AUGAUAAAUUUUCCGUGGCUAGUGGCAGGCGAUUUCAACGAAAUACUACAUGCACACGAGAAGGAGGGUGGAGUUCCAAGACCACAAAGAAGUAUGCAAAUGUUCAGUGAUGCUUUGUCUGAUUGUGGAGUAGAUGACCUUGGUUAUAUAGGCGAUCUGUUCUCAUGGCGUCGAGGCCACCUACGUGAGCGUUUGGAUCGAGUAGUGCAGAAUAUGCAAUGGGCAAACUUGUUCCCUGGGUUCGCUGUUUCAAAUGAGGAGUUUGAUAAAUCUGAUCACCGUCCGGUUCUUAUUGAUACCGAUUUUAAUCUGGGGGUGCAACCUAGGGGGCCGGCAGGAACCCGCAAAUUUGAGGUGCGGUGGCUAGCGGAGGAAGACAUUGAAACAAUCGUUCAAACCGCGUGGGACAAGCGCAAGGAGUUGGGCUGUGUACCACUAGCGAUCAGCACUGCAAAUGUUCAUGUGGCUCUUCAUCGAUGGGAUAGAGAGGUUCUUAAGGGGCCUCGUAACAAACUCUGGGAGUUGCAGAAAGAAUUGAAUGUAGUACUCUCGGGACCACUAUCAGAUGAAGCAGUGGUCAAGCAACAUGACCUACACUUGCAGAUUGAAAAACUUCUAGAACAAGAAGAAAUCUACUGGCUCCAACGGGGCCGGGCGGACUAG
This 663-nucleotide ribosomal RNA is filed under the name Triticum aestivum (bread wheat). RNAcentral's name for it is "partial small subunit ribosomal RNA". Lineage: Eukaryota; Viridiplantae; Streptophyta; Magnoliopsida; Poales; Poaceae. The record is from RNAcentral.